Nelumbo nucifera (sacred lotus) is the source of this 508-nucleotide non-coding RNA. NCBI's taxonomy places the organism in Eukaryota, Viridiplantae, Streptophyta, Magnoliopsida, Proteales, Nelumbonaceae. The record is from RefSeq and is a predicted model, not a curated record.
GAAUGGCGUGGGCGUGGAAAGAAGGCUCGGAAGUGAUACGGAUUCGGAAGCGGCACGGGCACGAAUUUAUCUUUUAAAUCCGUGAGAUGAGUGACUGGAUGUUUCUUGUGGGAAAUUACGUCCGCGGAGUUGAUUCAACCGUUCGAAUUGUUGCAGCAACCAACCAUGGCCUCGCAAACACUGGAUGCCAGAAUGAGACACACCAACCCAUUUCUUCUGUAUACACUCUUAAACCUUUUUUUCUCCACCGAUUUCUGAUUUGAUAUUCUUGACAGAUGAAUGGCGUGGGCGCGGAAAGGAGACUCGGAAGUGAUACAGAUUCGGAAUUGGCAAUGCUAUGUGACGUUGGAGUCCACUAUUGGAAUAUUAGUUUGCUGGUUGUGGAGGUGGCCAUAAUAUCCUUGGUUCCAAUGGGCAGGCAUGAGGAAUGCUCGAUUUGCAGGCAAACUGUGCAAGAUCUCACGGCUUUACUAUGAGGAAGCUGGUCCAAUCUUCGGUGUAAGCUUCU